UGGGGCGUAGCCAAGCGGUAAGGCAGCGGGCUCUGAACUCGCCAUUUCACUGGUUCGAUCCCAGUCGCCCCAACCA
Molecule: transfer RNA, 76 nt
Filed under: Candidatus Fiminaster equi
Lineage: Bacteria; Bacillati; Bacillota; Bacilli
Description: tRNA-Gln
Rfam family: tRNA
About the family: Transfer RNA (tRNA) molecules are approximately 80 nucleotides in length.
Source: RNAcentral